Molecule: ribosomal RNA, 253 nt
Filed under: uncultured bacterium
Lineage: Bacteria
Description: partial 16S ribosomal RNA
Rfam family: Bacterial small subunit ribosomal RNA
Source: RNAcentral
UCCGUCGGGUGCAAGAGUUGUCCGGAUUUAUUGGGUUUAAAGGGUGCGUAGAUGGCUGAUUAAGUCAUGGGUGAAAGCCCGCAGCUCAACUGUGGAAUUGCCUGUGAUACUGAUUAGCCUGAGUGCGGUUGAGGCAGCUGGAAUUGGUGGUGUAGCGGUGAAAUGCAUAGAUACCACCAGGAACACCGAUUGCGAAGGCAGGUUGCUAAGCCGUAACUGACACUGAGGCACGAAAGCGUGGGGAGCAAACAGG